GGGCCGAUAGCUCAGGUGGUUAGAGCACACGGCUGAUAACCGUGAGGUCGGAAGUUCGAAUCUUCCUCGGCCCA
Molecule: transfer RNA, 74 nt
Filed under: Thermanaerovibrio acidaminovorans DSM 6589
Lineage: Bacteria; Thermotogati; Synergistota; Synergistia; Synergistales; Synergistaceae
Rfam family: tRNA
About the family: Transfer RNA (tRNA) molecules are approximately 80 nucleotides in length. Their secondary structure includes four short double-helical elements and three loops (D, anti-codon, and T loops). Further hydrogen bonds mediate the characteristic L-shaped molecular structure. tRNAs have two regions of fundamental functional importance: the anti-codon, which is responsible for specific mRNA codon recognition, and the 3' end, to which the tRNAs corresponding amino acid is attached (by aminoacyl-tRNA synthetases). tRNAs cope with the degeneracy of the genetic code in two manners: having more than one tRNA (with a specific anti-codon) for a particular amino acid; and 'wobble' base-pairing, i.e. permitting non-standard base-pairing at the 3rd anti-codon position.
Source: Rfam by way of RNAcentral